This is a long non-coding RNA of Molossus molossus (Pallas's mastiff bat), 271 nucleotides long. RefSeq lists it as uncharacterized. The record is from RefSeq and is a predicted model, not a curated record. The transcript is spliced from 3 exons. Lineage: Eukaryota; Metazoa; Chordata; Mammalia; Chiroptera; Molossidae.
UGACAGUGCGAUGAUGGCAUAAUAGGCCAUUUGAACACCAGCUCUUACUUUGACCUUUCAGAAUAUGUAGAUUGGUGCUUGUCAUGGACUUUAUUCAGUUAUUACGGUUACCGGGGACUCAUUCGAUGCAUUUCCCAGCGGCUCAUUACGAGAAAGAGACAGGAAGGCUGACAGCUUGGGUGACCUCAUUUUCAGGAUGCGCUGCCGUCCCGCUAACCCAUUAGCUUUCUGAGCCAACUCACUUUUUUUCAAGGAUUGUUGAUGGUGGACA